CCCUUAGAUGUUCUGGGCCGCACGCGCGCUACACUGAUGCAUUCAACCAGUCUAAAACCUGCUCUGAUAGGGGUGGGUAAUCUUUUGAAUGUGCAUCGUGAUUGGGAUAGAUGAUUGCAAUUUUUCAUCUUCAACGAGGAAUGCCUAGUAAACGCAAGUCAUCAGCUUGCAUUGAUUACGUCCCUGCCCUUUGUACACACCGCCCGUCGCUCCUACCGAUUGAAUGGUCCGAUGAAUAUCAUGGAUUGAGGAUGCAAGUAGGUUCGCCUAUCUUCAUCUUCGAGAAGUGAAGUAAAUCUUAUCAUUUAGAGGAAGGAGAAGUCGUAACA
RNAcentral lists this ribosomal RNA (329 nucleotides) under uncultured eukaryote. Its description in RNAcentral is "partial 18S ribosomal RNA". It matches the Rfam family "Eukaryotic small subunit ribosomal RNA", at positions 1470 to 1796 of the family's 1831-position model. The record is from RNAcentral.